RNAcentral lists this ribosomal RNA (913 nucleotides) under uncultured Trebouxia photobiont. Its description in RNAcentral is "eukaryotic LSU rRNA". The stretch from base 417 to 570 matches the Rfam family "5.8S ribosomal RNA". The record is from RNAcentral. Lineage: Eukaryota; Viridiplantae; Chlorophyta; Trebouxiophyceae; Trebouxiales; Trebouxiaceae.
GAUGCAUUCACGAGCCUAUCCUUGGCCGACAGGCCCGGGUAAUCUUUGAAACUGCAUCGUGAUGGGGAUAGAUUAUUGCAAUUAUUAAUCUUCAACGAGGAAUGCCUAGUAAGCGCGAGUCAUCAGCUCGCGUUGAUUACGUCCCUGCCCUUUGUACACACCGCGAAAUUACUUAUGCCCUUCUGGAGUAGGCAAGCUUGCUAGUUUGCCCUUCAGCUGCGCAGGUCGGGGGCUGGCUCCUUUUGGUGUCAGUUGACUCGACUGGGCGGGUCCAAUACCAGCCGGAUUCCUCACGCCUCUAGGCUGUGGGGUUCUGCCGGCUGUGAGGGGUGGCUGUUCAACUCACUCCAAGCAAUCAACUCUGAAGGCAGAUCUAUAGGCUGGCUUUGCUGGCUAUAGACUGAUCAAUAUCAGACAACUCUCAACAACGGAUAUCUUGGCUCCCGUAACGAUGAAGAACGCAGCGAAAUGCGAUACGUAGUGUGAAUUGCAGAAUUCCGUGAACCAUCGAAUCUUUGAACGCAAAUUGCGCUCGAGGCCUCGGCCAAGAGCAUGUCUGCCUCAGCGUCGGCUACUACCCUCAACCUACUUUCCUAUUUUGAUGGGGAUGUUUCUUGUCCUUAAAGGGGAAGUUUCCUAUUUUAUAGGAGAUUUUUCUCGUUUUGACAGGAAAUAUUUCCUGUUCUUUAUGGGGGAGGCCGGUUGGAUCUGGCCGUCCGGAUUGCCUUUCAGGCUGCCGGUUGGCUGAAAUACAUUCACGCUCUGGGGGUUGCUUUCCUUUCAAGGAGAGACGAGUUCCGAUUUGGUAGGUGACCUUUGCCGGUUGCAUGCCUUCGUUGCUCGUUAGGCUUCCCAGUAUGCGUUGUGCAGGACGCCUUUUGGCUUUCGACCUGAGGUCAGGCAAGAACACCCG